AUGGGUAACCUAGCUCCUUCCUCCACACUUCUUGGCCUCUGGCAGAAAGCCUUUCUGCAUGAUAAUGGGCCUGGGUUGCCUCGUCAGGGAGCAAACAGAUCUCUCUCAGUGAGGAUUCAGACCACAUUAUCUCAGAGUGUUCGUGCCCAAUUUAACAGAUCCAUGAUUAAAAGGGCUGGUGUGCCUGCAGCUCACACUGAGAAAUGAAAUGGAAUUUUGACCAGAGGGAUCCAUGUCUACCCAUGAUGAUGAAAUUAAAAAACAAGCAAAAAACCAAAAAGAUUUCAGUGGCCAUGGACAUCUCUGACCAUCCAGUGGUGCUACAUCAGACUGAAAAAGAGACCUGGGAUCUUGCAGGGGAAGGAAGAGUGAAUCCAGGGAGUGAUACCUUCUAUUAAAGAGUGGAAAGCUCACGUCCCAGCCUCCAGAGCCAUGAGAACCACUCACUGAGCCCCGGCCAAUGGAAUGUGGCGGAGGUGGUGGACAGGACUUCGCUGAUCGCAGGGAGUGUGGUCCCCCUUCCCGUUCUCCCAUACAACCACUACCUCAUUGUGACACAGGUUUGUCUCAGAACAGUUCAACUCUCUUGCCAGUGAUGAGGACGCAAAGGAAAGGAUGAACUGUUUUCAGCUAUUUUCAGGCGCUCUUGUCAAGACUCUUAGGCUACCAGUCCAGGAGCCUGAAAUGCUGAAACUCAGAGUUUAGGAUGAACUCCAACAUGAACUGAGGGCACUGAACAUAGUUUCGUGCAGAGUUUUGGGUCUUCUCAUUAUUUGCCCUCGUGACUGUUAGUUAAAUAUCAUUACCUGAAAAAUCACAACUAUGCACGUGGAAAAAAAAGUUUGAAAGGUUGGUUCUGAUCCUCCAUGUUGUGAGUUUUUUGGUUUUUGUGUGUUUUUUUUUUUUUUGUAAAAACAGGUAUGUACUGUUUUGACUUCAUAUUAAAAAUUACUUUUCACUUAACUGGAAGUCAGAUAAAUAAUUAUCUUGGUUAACUACACAGCAAGUCACCCUCAGACUUUGUGGCUUAAAACAAGGAUUUGUUCUGAUUCUGCGGGCAGC
Molecule: long non-coding RNA, 1062 nt
Organism: Camelus dromedarius (Arabian camel)
Lineage: Eukaryota; Metazoa; Chordata; Mammalia; Artiodactyla; Camelidae
Exons: 3
Source: RefSeq, a predicted model, not a curated record